AAUCAUUGCUGGUUGAUGUAAAACGCAUCACUACCGGUGCGCCAGCGCGGGAAUGUCGCCGCAGACGCCAGAUUUUAAAAACUAUCUAUACUGUUUAAUACAGAGACAUUUACCUUGCGGUGAUAGGCUUAAUCAGCAUUGUGUAAACUUGUUUGGCAAGGGCUGGAAUGUAACGGACGUUAAUGUAUAUGUAAAAGCCCUGCACUGUAUGUUUAAGCUACCAUGUGUUCACACAUUCACGUGCCACACUUUACGUGCUAACUCCUCUCAAACAGUACUGCUUCUGCUGCUCCUGUACUGAACGUAGCAUUUGGAAAACAAGCCAACUGUCGUGUUGUGCAGUGAGGAAAUUUCCUGCUGCAGCUAGCUUCAGACCUAAUCCAUCCCAAGGGCUCCAAUGAAAUGCCAGGGCAACGCUGCUUCUGUGUGAUGAUCCUCAGCUGAGUCUACACGCUCUCUCAAAGAAGUGACUUUCUCUGUCGACGCUCUCAAACAGUAGGACCAAAAAGCGUGCUGGACUUAAGUGCUCUUUGGAGUGACAGGCUGACUGAGAGGACGUUGCUUCCUGGAUGUGCUCCAAGCAGUUCUUAUUACAGGCUUUUCACCAUGUCACUGUGGAGGGAUUCUUACAAACUGUACGACAGGAAACACCCAUUCCUCUGGAUGCUUCUGGAAAACACUGUGCUGUGACUUUUCUUGUUUUCUUUCUAAUUUUUCAACUAACUAUCCUGGACACUUUUUUUGGUGAGGAGAAGAUGUUGAGGAACUGAUUCAAACUGUAAACACUUCUAGUUUUCAGUUUUACUGCCUUUUUAAAGAUAGAGAUCAUAACUAAUGGUGAGUAAUAUAGAAAUGUCAAAUUUUGGGUGAACUGACGUUGUGUGUGUCUGAGUUUUGGAGGGGUGUAUGUUCGCCCCCGUAGAGAGACAAAAGGUUUGAUUUGCAUGUGCGUGUACAAACAAAACAAUAUGCAAGAGUGAUGUCAGGUGCGAGAAGAAUCAACAUAGUUUAUCCGUGUUAGUCGUGCUCUUAAAUAAACGUCAAAGUUACUCUGUGAACGCUGCGUGUAACUUUUCACCAGUGCAGGUGUCACCGAGAUACGCAGAAUAUCAAAUGACACAAGGCUCUGAACUGACAAAAUGAUAUAUUUUAAAUGAUAAUCACAGUUUUAAUAAGUUGUGACUUUACAUUUUAAAUACCUGCACUAAUAUCACAAGACUGCACACAGCUUUGAGUGCGUCUGAAGCGACAUGCCUCCCUGUAAAUCCGUUACACAAUAUGUAAAAUUAAGUUGAGUGGAAAAUAAGAUGUUGGAUAAUUACUCAUGGUGUUAUAGAGGAGCAAACGUAUCACUUUAUAUCCUCUUAAGAAUUUAAAACACACCCGUUCGUUCAAUUUCAUGACUUACAGAAGAAGAUUCUCAGGAUAGAUUUAAGUUAUGUAGAGAUGUAAUUAAAAAAAACAAAUUAUUAAGCAACAAAAUUGUCCACAGACGUAUUUAGCCUCCUUGUUGUUGUUUCAUGGGUGUAUCGGCCAAGAGGUGGUGGUAUUUACUUGGAUCCGAACGUGUGUGAGACACUUGGGUACCUGACACAGUCAGUGUUUAGGUUGAGCCACUAGAUGUCAGCAUUCAUCAACAUAUGAAACAAAAUUAUAGCACUUCUUUUUUUUUUAAUUUCCAACAUUCAGACCAAAUUCAGCUUAUAGCAGAACAUAUGUACGCGCUGAAGUGCAUAUGAAUAUAAGUCUUAACAAUGGAGAUAUAAACAUACCAUUAAGGUAUCAUCCAACAGUAAAUCAUAGCAAUACAUGGAUGCAAUGCCUUAGACAUGUUUUAAAUAUUUUAAAGGAUUACACCACUUUCACGUGCCAUAAGUCCACAGCAGGCAAAUUGGUCUAAAGAGCUGUUUGUUAUGUUUUGUUUUGGCCUUGGCCAAGAAUGUUUGACUGUAGAAUUGAAUUUAACUGCAUGUCACAGUAAAGGUCUGUUCUUAAUCAUAGAGAUACUCUUACCACGAGAUGGCAAUCGCACAUAAUGAAAAUCCGUGUGUGUGUGUGUGUGUGUGUGUGUGUGUGUGUGUGUGUUGGGGGGGGGCAUGGAAGGUCCCGGGUGUUAAUGCUCUCCACAUGGAUGUUUUGCAUAUAACUAGAUGUCUUUACAUUGGUUUGUUUUGGGUUUUGUCUGUCUCCGUCCUACAUGCGCGUGCAUCUGUUCAUUAACCUGCAGUAUUUAUUGAAUAUCUGUGUGAGCGGAGCUGGAUGUUUCCCUGCUGGAGGUCCUUGUUUGUUUGGUUUAUUUGCAUGCAGCGAAGUGGUUGCUGGCGGUGCUGGUCACUACAAGUGGCUGGCAUUCGGAGCCUGCUAAUCAGGCUGCGGGCAAACUGGGUGGCAGCGCUCCGAAUGGUUUGCUGGAGAUUAUCCCAAAAUUAUCCAUGAAUUAUCCCCCAGAAUUACGCCAUUCCAAGUCAGGCCUUGUCCAUUGAUGGGACUGGGAAGAGAGAGUGUUGGACGAGGAAGUGUGUAUGUGUGUGUGUGUGCAUGCGUUGUCGGGGGGAGAUUUGGAUGGAGCAGUGUUGGUGUCUGUGUCAUGGAGCGUAUAUUUCUCUGUGUGUGUGUGCUCUGUAAUGAUUCUGGCAGUGUUGGUACAUUGGGGUAAUGGAGCAUGUUAAUCCACAUCAAACAGCUAUUAGCGGCAGAUUUUACUCAUAAAAGUCACUAGUUGCAGUAAGAGGAAAGACACAAAAUGAACGUACAAUCUUGCAACCUGUGUACUUUAUUUUACUCUUGCAGUCAACCAGUGGUUUGUCGCACCAAAAAGAAAUACAGUUGUGCUUGUUAAGCCCUCUAAUUAUCUAUUAUCAAAUCCCCAAAUCUGCAACAAAACAUCUAUGUAAAUGUGUAAAAUUUUGUAUCUCAACAUUUUCACAAGACAUUUAUUCCCGAAGCUAGACAUUUUUCGAGCCAUUUGGAGCAUUGUAUUAAACUCAUUUCUGUGUAGCUGCUGUCAGCACACAUUAUGCUGUCAUUAAAGUCUGGGUUGAUAGGAGGGACUAGUUGCCUGCUUGUGUGUGGCUGCUGGAGACCCAGGAAGAUGAAUAGUGCUGGUGAACCUCUCUGCGAUAAGUGUUCGGUAAACAGGUCAGUGGAUUGUCCUCCGAGGCUCAGUCUGAGCUAUUUUCCCUGACUGGGAACACAAAUUAUCCUCCGUAUUCAUCCCAUAAACAGACCACCAGUGGCGCAGAUUCCACAUAGUUUGUUGUGGCUGUAUUUGCGUACUCAGUCACUGUGGGGUUUUUUUUUUUAUUUUUGGUGCUUGGCUGAAUGUAGACAGGACUACUUGUACAUGUGAAUCACAAUAUGGGAUAACACAUGCACGCUUUUCACCCACUCAACAACAACAGUCCAAAUGCAGUGCUGGCGAACAGAUGAAAGCACAACUAUUGAAGAUGAGAAAACAAUUAGACGUAGAGCGGGCACAAGUGGAGGAUCACAGUGAAACACGCACUGGCAAGGAAGAGGAAAACAGUGAGAGGCAGAGGGGCAAAGAGAGGGAGAGGCCAAUGUGGCGAAAGGUUAAGUACUCUUUUUUUUCAGAUGCUGUAAUUCCUGCAGGGCCUUGUUCCUUGACCCGCCGGUUAGAAGAGGGAGGUAAAAAAAAAAAAAAGGGGAGCGAGGGAAGGAAGGAGAAAAGGCUAAAGCUGCAUGUGAGGUUGCAAGGUGAGAGGUGGAAGAGCUAAAAUGGGAGGAGUAUUUGCCUCUGGCUGAUGGGGAACAAUUGGACACACAAGGAGGCACGCACACACACUCGAAACCAGAAACAAAAAUGGACUUUCUCACACACACACACACUUAGCACUACAGUCCCAGCAGGCUAUGAACUUCAGUGCAGUUGUUGCCAUGGCAAUACACUGAGUUGCUGACCCCCCGACUCCAUUUUUUCCUGCCGCUUUGCUAUUGAAAGAGAUGAUUGACAAGUGUCCAAAUGUCAGCCGACCCAGCCGGCCACACAGA
RNA transcript from Thunnus maccoyii (southern bluefin tuna), 4011 nucleotides. It is a transcript of the gene named SRY-box transcription factor 1a, with no coding region annotated. The transcript is spliced from 3 exons. The record is from RefSeq and is a predicted model, not a curated record. Lineage: Eukaryota; Metazoa; Chordata; Actinopteri; Scombriformes; Scombridae.